GACGAACGCUGGCGGCGUGCCUAACACAUGCAAGUCGAACGAGGUCCAAGGAGUGCUUGCACUCCUGAAGACCUAGUGGCGAACGGGUGAGUAGCACGUGAGAAACCUGCCCCGGACUCUGGGAUAACUCAAGGAAACUUGAGCUAAUACCGGAUACCCUCCUGCGGUCGCAUGGCUGCUUGAGGAAAGUUUUUCGGUCUGGGAGGGUCUCGCGGCCUAUCAGCUAGUUGGUGAGGUAACGGCUCACCAAGGCGACGACGGGUAGCUGGUUUGAGAGAACGAUCAGCCACACUGGAACUGAGACACGGUCCAGACUCCUACGGGAGGCAGCAGUGGGGAAUCUUGCGCAAUGGGCGAAAGCCUGACGCAGCAACGCCGCGUGCGGGAUGACGGCCUCGGUUGUAACGACGUUCUAGCAGGACGAAGAGUAGACGGUACCGU
RNAcentral lists this ribosomal RNA (441 nucleotides) under uncultured bacterium. Its description in RNAcentral is "bacterial SSU rRNA". It matches the Rfam family "Bacterial small subunit ribosomal RNA", at positions 28 to 481 of the family's 1533-position model. The record is from RNAcentral.